This is a small nuclear RNA of Mastomys coucha (southern multimammate mouse), 106 nucleotides long. The record is from RefSeq and is a predicted model, not a curated record. Lineage: Eukaryota; Metazoa; Chordata; Mammalia; Rodentia; Muridae.
GUGAUCAUUUUGGCAGCACAUAUACUGAGACUGGAACAAUACAGAGAAGAUUAGUCGAGCCUCUGCACAAGGAUGACACGAAAUUCGGGAAGCUGGCCAUAUUUUC